RNAcentral lists this transfer RNA (89 nucleotides) under Candidatus Omnitrophota bacterium. RNAcentral's name for it is "tRNA-Ser". It matches the Rfam family "tRNA". From Rfam's summary of the family: Transfer RNA (tRNA) molecules are approximately 80 nucleotides in length. Lineage: Bacteria; Pseudomonadati; Candidatus Omnitrophota. The record is from RNAcentral.
GGAGGAGUGGCUGAGCGGACUAAAGCGGCGGUCUUGAAAACCGUUGUACCCUCUGGGUACCGUGGGUUCGAAUCCUACCUCCUCCGCCA